RNAcentral lists this transfer RNA (76 nucleotides) under Gammaproteobacteria bacterium. RNAcentral describes it as "tRNA-Asn". It matches the Rfam family "tRNA". Rfam says of the family: Transfer RNA (tRNA) molecules are approximately 80 nucleotides in length. Their secondary structure includes four short double-helical elements and three loops (D, anti-codon, and T loops). Lineage: Bacteria; Pseudomonadati; Pseudomonadota; Gammaproteobacteria. The record is from RNAcentral.
UCCCCGAUAGCUCAGUCGGUAGAGCAAAUGACUGUUAAUCAUUAGGUCACUGGUUCGAGUCCAGUUCGGGGAGCCA